Molecule: transfer RNA, 77 nt
Filed under: Pseudomonas aeruginosa
Lineage: Bacteria; Pseudomonadati; Pseudomonadota; Gammaproteobacteria; Pseudomonadales; Pseudomonadaceae
Description: tRNA-Pro
Rfam family: tRNA
About the family: Transfer RNA (tRNA) molecules are approximately 80 nucleotides in length.
Source: RNAcentral
CGGGGCGUAGCGUAGCCUGGUAGCGCACUUGCAUGGGGUGCAAGGGGUCGAGUGUUCGAAUCACUCCGUCCCGACCA